RNAcentral lists this ribosomal RNA (670 nucleotides) under Inocybe acuta. RNAcentral describes it as "eukaryotic LSU rRNA". It matches the Rfam family "Eukaryotic large subunit ribosomal RNA", at positions 1 to 653 of the family's 3401-position model. The record is from RNAcentral. Lineage: Eukaryota; Fungi; Basidiomycota; Agaricomycetes; Agaricales; Inocybaceae.
UUGACCUCAAAUCAGGUAGGACUACCCGCUGAACUUAAGCAUAUCAAUAAGCGGAGGAAAAGAAACUAACAAGGAUUCCCCUAGUAACUGCGAGUGAAGCGGGAAGAGCUCAAAUUUAAAAUCUGGCGGUUCUUGACCGUCCGAGUUGUAAUCUAGAGAAGUGUUACCCGUGCUGGACCGUGUACAAGUCUCCUGGAAUGGAGCAUCAUAGAGGGUGAGAAUCCCGUCUUUGACAUGGACUGCCUGCACGUCUUGGUGCGCUCUCGAAGAGUCGAGUUGUUUGGGAAUGCAGCUCAAAAUGGGUGGUAAAUGCCAUCUAAAGCUAAAUAUUGGCGAGAGACCGAUAGCGAACAAGUACCGUGAGGGAAAGAUGAAAAGAACUUUGGAAAGAGAGUUAAACAGUAUGUGAAAUUGCUGAAAGGGAAACGCUUGAAGUCAGUCGCGUUGGCUAGAAAUCAGCCUUGCUUUUGCUUGGUGUACUUUCUUGUUGACGGGUCAGCAUCAGUUUCGACCGCUGGAUAAGGAUUUUGGGAAUGUGGCAUCCUUGGAUGUGUUAUAGCCCAUUGUCGCAUGCAGUGGUGGGGAUUGAGGAACUCAGCACGCCGCAAGGCCGGGUCUCUGACCACGCUCGUGCUUAGGAUGCUGGCAUAAUGGCUUUAAUCGACCCGUC